AUUUUUUAAUAUUAGGAACUUGGUCUUGAUAUUAUGGCUUAAAACGCCAAAUGUUUUUCCUUUAUGUAUUCUUAUAAACGUUACUGAGAAAUAUUAAGAUACAUUUUUAGAUUGUUGCUUCCUCCUAGGAUACAAUAUCAGGGCCAGGAUAAUACUAUCCUAUCUUAAACAAUUCAAUAAAUGACACUUUUCAGACACUAGAAAGCAAGCAGUUUAAAACCCUCAUCCCCAUUGCAGAAAUCAAGAUGAGCACUAUUAUUUCUCCCAACAUAAUACAUGGAGAGUUUCCAGUCCAUAUUCCAGGGGUAGUUAAUGUAAGCAGAAGCCAGUCCUCUUCCAGAAUUGAGACACAAUCACUGGAGUUUGGGGAUGCCAAAGUAUGCAGAAGAGAGCACAGACAGGAAAGACCUCCUGUAGAGCUGUCAGGGAAUUACCUAGAAUCUUUAGCUAAGAACUGAGCAGUUCAUAUGUAUGUAGAAAACACCCAAAGCUAUGGAAAGAAACACUUGUAGUGAGUAUAGGGAAUAAUCCUCGUAGCUCCUAUAGAUCCAGUAAUAGUUGGUGUUAUCAGAAUAGGAAAAACCUCAUAAUUCAUAAGACAUGGGUUACUCAGAAGGGUAUUGCCUUAUUAGGAAAAAUUCACAUAGAACUAAGGGCUGUUCUGAUCUUGCCUAUCAAAGCUUACAGUGAUCCUUAAGGGACUGGGGUGCAGCUCAGAAGUAGAGCAUCUGCUUGGCAUGCAUAAGGCCCUGGGUUCAAUCCCCACCAACACCCCAAAACAAAUGCCCUUUGAAAGAAUCAAACUGUUCCCAAAUAACUGAAUUAAAUAUUUCAGAACAAAGCUCAAAAAUAUUUAAAAAUAUAUUAGAAUAAUAUAUUUAGCAUCCAACCAAAGACAAGAAGACACCGGGCACCAUCCUCUAAUCCCAGCAGCUUGGGAGGCAGGAGGGUCCCGAGUUCAAAUCCAGCCUUAACAAGGCCCUAAGCAACUUAGUGAGACACUGUCUCAUAAAAAGGGGUAGGAAAGUGGCUCAAUGGUUAAGCACUCCUGGGUUCAAUCCCUGGUAGCAAAAUAAGUGAGAAGACAUGCAAAGAACCAGGAAAAUAUUGAUACAUAAUGAGGAAAAAAUUGACUCUCAUAAUUAAUAGGGUAUAAAAAAUUAUAAUAUUUUAUAUGAUGAUGAAGGGUUGAUGAAAGGCUGGGGUUGUAGCUCAGUGGUAGAGUGCUUGCUUUGCGCUCGUGAGGCACUGGGUUCGAUCCUCAGCAUCACAUAAAAAUAUUAUCUACAACUAAAAAAUGUUUUUUUUAAAAAAGAAAGAAAAUACACCAAAAUAUAAGCACAAGAAUAGCAACUCUUGGGAAAGGGAAGAUCAAAAUCCAGAGUUACUAUAGUAGUAUAUCUAAAAUAUCCAGCUUUUUAAAAGAAUUUAAUCUUUAUUUUUUAUUUAUAUAUUUAUUUUUUAAUGUGGUACUAAGGCUCAAAUCCAGUGCCUCACCUGUGCUAGGCAAGCACUCUACCACUGAGCUACAACCUCAGCCCUAAAACAUCUAGUUUUUAACAACAAUGAAAAAAAUAAGAAUUGCUAAGAAAAGGGAAAAUGUGAUCAUGCUUGGGGAAAAGUCUAUUGAAAUUGUCCUUGAGGAGGCUAGGGCAUCGAACACAGCAAAACUUUAAAUUGACUAUUACAUGUACGUUCAAAGAUUGAAAUGAAACCAUAUUUAGAAAAUUAAAGGGAAUUAUGCUGGGCACGGUGGCACACGCCUGUAAUCCCAGCGGCUCAGGAGGCUGAGACAGGAGGAUCAUGAGUUCAAAGCAAACCUCAGCAACAGCAAGACACUAAAAAACUCAGUGAGAUCCUGUCUCUAAAUAAAAUAAAAAAUAAUAAUAGGGCUGGGGAUGUGGAUCAGUGGCUGCAUGUUCCUG
RNAcentral lists this long non-coding RNA (1925 nucleotides) under Marmota monax (woodchuck). The stretch from base 706 to 774 matches the Rfam family "tRNA". The record is from RNAcentral. Lineage: Eukaryota; Metazoa; Chordata; Mammalia; Rodentia; Sciuridae.